AAACAGCUCUGAGCUGCAUGAUUAUGAGAGCUGAGCCUCAGCUCCCACUUUGCUGUCAUCGUCAGCAUUCAUAAGCAGUGCUGAGAGGCGUUGGUGGUGAGAAUCAAGCCCUGGUGCAGCUCCAGGUGACUGCUGCCUUCUCCCAGAGCCUCAGCACACACUGCAUGAGUGUCACCAUGCAGUGGCUGCCAUCACUCUGCUGGAUAACCAGAGGUGUUACCAGGCUCGACACCUUCCACAUUGUCAUCUCCCAGUGACAGCACUGCUUUACUGAGCCUUUGCUCUGAGCUUCUCAGGGAAAGGCACCUCAGGCAGAGGGAUGCUGUGGAUUUUAGAGCUGCGAGUGUAUCCCAGGAGCCACAUCCCCGAGCCCUUCAGAAGCCUUCAUCAAAACUGUGGUGGAGCAAUCGAGGAGCAGAUUGGGACCUACCUUGCAGAGAAGAAAGGGGGAUGAGGAAUCUACUUACACCAUUAUAUUGACCUUCUGCUUUGAGUGUAAUAAAAAAUCUGGAGGAGAUCAAACUCUGACUCAUUUGGCACAGGAAAGCCAAGCAACCAUGCAGGACUGGAAACUUCUAGUUGCAAAUUAAGAGUGCCAUGACGGAUGUGACUAGUUGACAAGAGCUACAGACGAUGUUCAUUCCUACAAGUAGAGAAGAAAGUCUCUCCUGACUUCUGCAAGUCCUCUGCACUCUUCCUAAGAGUGGAAUUUGACUACAGUAUGAGCAGUGUUAAAUGUUACUCCGUGUGGAACUGCUUUUUCCAUGUAUUUACUUGGUGGUUUAUAUUUGCUUAAUGCACAUCUUUCAACGAGACAUUCAGACUUCAUUCAACGAUUGCUGGAAUUUCCUAUGUGUUCCAAAGCAUAAAAAUUACAUCUGUGUGUUGAGCCUUCCCUGCAAAAUUCCUCUGUGAUUCUCCUGUGCAAGUUUUGCAGACUUGAUGGGCUUAGUGGACAUAACUCUUGCAGGUUUUCAUUUGAUUGGGAAGUACUUUUGCAAGGCUUUAUGGAAAAGUCAGCUGGGUGUUUUGUCCUGCUCCCUCCCAGAAAAUGAAUGCACAUGUUGAAUGUCUCAUGAAGAAAUGGGGAUGAGACUUCCCUGCAAGGAAGAGGCUGUGGAGAAGCUCAAAUACUCCAGCCUUCAGCUACUACAGCCUUGAAUGGCACAGGAUGAGAUGUUGAGCAACACAGAGGCAGGAGAUCAUGGGAGGAAAAAACCUCUUUGUCCAGAUUACACCUGCAUUGAGAUAAGUUUUAAUGAUGAUUUUUUAGAGUGUAGAUGCCAGCUAAGUUCAAGCUAAUGCUGGUGAGAAACUACAGUAGGCAAUUCAAGGAGGCUAUAAAUUUUCCUAAAUUCAUUAGCUGCCUAUUGAGGGUGGAAGAGAACAUAACUAAAAAUAAUUACAUAUAAAUUAUGAAAUUCAAAUGGAAUGUGUUACUUUGCUCACGCAAAACUUCAAGGGAGACAAAUCAGAGAGGUUUAUUAGCAUAUUCUACUUUUCUAACAAACCUUACAAUGAAGGGAAAAUAUAAUAAUGUAAAGGAGUUGAAGAUUCAUGUUUCCAUAAUAGCUGUAUCUGCACAAUCCUACCUGUGAAAUUCAUUCUCUGUGGGUGGUGAUGCUGCUGAAUAGUUUUUUAUUUCACAGCCAUCUUUGUUUUUUCCCCUGUAAGUAGCUCUUUUGUUUAUAUCUAUUAACAUGCAAUCCUCUCCUGCCCAGAACUUUCUUCAGCUGCAUUACACCUGAGCCAGGGGUUUGGCGGGGAGCAAAGGGCAGCACGCAAAACUGAUCAUAAAUACACUCCCAAAAAAUUCAUUUUUAUUUGAGCUCAUUCAUUCUAAUUGUUCUCUUGAGGCUUGAUUUGGAGCACAGAGAAAUCCAAAGGGGACUCACUGGGCUGUGGGUCAGGUUUUCGGGUCACCUGUACAUGGCAAGUGGUGAAUAAUGAGCAGCACAGUGCCAGCCCCUUAGGCCUGACCCUGAGGAUGGAGUAGGAAUUCGGCCACGGAUCUCAUCAAGUGCAGUCUCAGGGAUGGAGGAGAGCACUGCUUCUGCAGCAAAAGGCAGUCACAGACCUGAAUGACCAGCAGGCUGCUGUGUCCCAGUAAUGCAGUUGACCGUGCCCUGAUUAACUGGUGCAAACUAUGCCCCUGAACAUUUUCUCUGUGGAAUUAGUGCUUUUGUUUAUGGCAAUGGUCCAAGAAGUUGUUAGAGUCACUGCUGGGACUUGAUAUGAUUACAGAUACAUUUCCAUGUUCAACUACAAAUACUGUGAUGGCUGGUUUGUCCCUUCCACUAGUGUAAACAGGUUAGGAUUAAUACACAUAUUUUGCAAACCAAUCUACAUGCAGUAAAAACUGUUUAGGUUGGAUUUUUUUUUCCUUUUUUUAUUUUUUGGGGUUUUUUUUAAUUGUUGUUGU
This is a long non-coding RNA of Motacilla alba alba, 2422 nucleotides long. RefSeq lists it as uncharacterized. The record is from RefSeq and is a predicted model, not a curated record. The transcript is spliced from 9 exons. Lineage: Eukaryota; Metazoa; Chordata; Aves; Passeriformes; Motacillidae.